RNAcentral lists this ribosomal RNA (377 nucleotides) under uncultured Clostridium sp. RNAcentral describes it as "bacterial SSU rRNA". It matches the Rfam family "Bacterial small subunit ribosomal RNA", at positions 355 to 749 of the family's 1533-position model. Lineage: Bacteria; Bacillati; Bacillota; Clostridia; Eubacteriales; Clostridiaceae. The record is from RNAcentral.
UGGGGAAUAUUGCACAAUGGGGGAAACCCUGAUGCAGCAACGCCGCGUGAGUGAUGACGGCCUUCGGUUGUAAAGCUCUGUCUUCAGGGACGAUAAUGACGGUACCUGAGGAGGAAGCCACGGCUAACUACGUGCCAGCAGCCGCGGUAAUACGUAGGUGGCGAGCGUUGUCCGGAUUUACUGGGCGUAAAGGGAGCGUAGGCGGACCUUUAAGUGAGAUGUGAAAUACCCGGGCUCAACUUGGGUGCUGCAUUUCAAACUGGAAGUCUAGAGUGCAGGAGAGGAGAAUGGAAUUCCUAGUGUAGCGGUGAAAUGACGUAGAGAUUAGGAAGAACACCAGUGGCGAAGGCGAUUCUCUGGACUGUAACUGACGCUGA